Molecule: ribosomal RNA, 406 nt
Filed under: uncultured bacterium
Lineage: Bacteria
Description: partial 16S ribosomal RNA
Rfam family: Bacterial small subunit ribosomal RNA
Source: RNAcentral
AUUGAACGCUGGCGGCAGGCUUAACACAUGCAAGUCGAGCGAGCGGCGGACGGGUGAGUAAUGUCUGGGAAACUGCCUGAUGGAGGGGGAUAACUACUGGAAACGGUCGCUAAUAACGCAUAGCUUCAGAUGUGCCCAGUUGGGAUUAGCUAGUAGGUGGGGUAAUGGCUCACCUAGGCGACGAUCCCUAGUUGGUCUGAGAGGAUGACCAGCCAAACUGGAACUGAGAAACGGUCCAGACUCCUACGGGAGGCAGCAGUGGGGAAUAUUGGACAAUGGGCGCAAGCCUGAUGCAGCCAUGCCGCGUGUGUGAAGAAGGCCUUCGGGUUGUAAAGCACUUUAAGCGAGGAGGCGUUACCCGCAGAAGAAGCACCGGCUAACUCCGUGCCAGCAGCCGCGGUAAUUC